Molecule: long non-coding RNA, 377 nt
Filed under: Glycine max (soybean)
Lineage: Eukaryota; Viridiplantae; Streptophyta; Magnoliopsida; Fabales; Fabaceae
Description: long non-coding RNA (GMAX_LNC002845)
Source: RNAcentral
UUGGUUAGUGAAUGCAACAAAAUACUUGAGUUACCUUCUUCAAGUUUAGAUGUGGGUUUUGAUGUAGCUAGCUGUUUGGCAAGGUUCAGCAGAUGGAACCUUCUCCAUAAAAUCUGUUUAUGAAUUAGUGUGUCAUUGUCGAUCCCUCCAAGACUUAAGACUGCAAAAACCAGACAGUGUUUUUAGUGGCUUCUGACUCAAUACAGGCUAAUAAGCUUCUAGAGGAAGGUUGCAACGUUCAUCACACCAGUAGGAGUUUGAUCGAAGAAAUCCGCGACGUGCAUGGACAUCUGGGGAACGUGUCUUGGAAUUAUGUUACUAUGGAAGCAAAUAGUGUGGCAAAUAUAUUAGCCAAGAAGGCAGUUAAUUUAGCUCAG